UAGCAGAAAGUUAACAAAAACUGAAGGAAAUUAAGAAAUACAGUACAUAAUUGAGGAAAUUAGAGAUAAAAUUGAAGAUAACACUUAGAACUCGUCCCUUGGUUGAAUUCCAGAUUGAAAUCUUCCUUUUAGUUUAUUCUUCCUUCAAUUCCCCCAAUUUCUCUUAUAUGCUUUUUCAUUAGUUUUGCACUUGUUCCUUUCUCCCUUUUGAGUCUCCAAAAGGUCU
RNAcentral lists this long non-coding RNA (226 nucleotides) under Olea europaea (common olive). Its description in RNAcentral is "long non-coding RNA (OEUR_LNC014729)". Lineage: Eukaryota; Viridiplantae; Streptophyta; Magnoliopsida; Lamiales; Oleaceae. The record is from RNAcentral.